This 608-nucleotide ribosomal RNA is filed under the name Hybosorus sp. BM677911. RNAcentral's name for it is "partial 16S ribosomal RNA". It matches the Rfam family "Bacterial large subunit ribosomal RNA", at positions 1844 to 2731 of the family's 2925-position model. The record is from RNAcentral. Lineage: Eukaryota; Metazoa; Arthropoda; Insecta; Coleoptera; Hybosoridae.
UUUAAAGUCUAGUCUGCCCGAUGAUUAAUUCAAUGGCCGCGGUAUUUUGACCGUGCAAAGGUAGCAUAAUAAUUAGCUUCUUAAUUAGAAACUUGCAUGAAUGGCUGGACGAGAAGGAGACUGUCUCUAUCUAAAUUUUCUAGAAUUUUAUUUUUAAGUUAAAAAGCUUAAAUAGGUUUAAAAGACGAGAAGACCCUAUAGAGUUUGACAUUAUACUAAGGAUGAUUUUUUUGGAAUUAAAAAUUUCUUUUAGAAUUAAUGUUUUGUUGGGGUGACAUCAAAAUAGAUAAAACUUUUGAUUUGUUUUACACUGAUUAGUGAUUGUUUGAUCCAUUGGUUGUGAUUAAAAGAUUAAAUUACCUUAGGGAUAACAGCGUAAUUUUUUUUUAGAGUUCUUAUCGAUAAAAAAGUUUGCGACCUCGAUGUUGGAUUAAAAUUUGGUACUGGCGCAGUUGUUGGAUAUCUUGGUCUGUUCGACCAUUAAAAUUUUACAUGAUCUGAGUUUAAACCGGCGUGAGCCAGGUUGGCUUCUAUCUUUUGGAAAGUACGGCAUUUUAGUACGAAAGGACCGAUUGCUGGUAAAAUUUAUUUUUAUUUGAUUUUUACUA